This 251-nucleotide ribosomal RNA is filed under the name uncultured prokaryote. RNAcentral describes it as "partial 16S rRNA". It matches the Rfam family "Bacterial small subunit ribosomal RNA", at positions 525 to 775 of the family's 1533-position model. The record is from RNAcentral.
ACGUAGGGAGCAAGCGUUAUCCGGAUUUAUUGGGUGUAAAGGGUGCGUAGGCGGGAAGGCAAGUUGAAUGUGAAAUACCGGGGCUCAACUCCGGGGCUGCGUUCAAAACUGUUUUUCUUGAGUACAGCAGAGGCAAGCGGAAUUCCCAGUGUAGCGGUAAUAUGCGUAGAGAUUGGGAGGAAGACCGAUGGCGAAGGCAGCUUGCUGGGCUGCAACUGACGCUGAUCCGCGAAAGUGUGGGGAGCAAGCAG